Molecule: long non-coding RNA, 816 nt
Organism: Podarcis raffonei (Aeolian wall lizard)
Lineage: Eukaryota; Metazoa; Chordata; Lepidosauria; Squamata; Lacertidae
Exons: 3
Source: RefSeq, a predicted model, not a curated record
CGAACAGACUUAACUUGAUUUUAUAUCUCCUCGCAGACACAGAUAAGGAUGAAUUCCAGAUCACAGUUUUCAGCCUUCCAGAUCAAGCUGUGCAAGAGAAUAUUUACGGGAUCCACAGAGAGGUCAUAAUCUGCAUAAUCUUUGAUAAACUAUAUUAUUGCCUGCCAAUGUAUUUGAGUCCUGGGGCCAUGCCACUAGACACAAACAAAAUCUGCUGAUGAGUUUUACAUUGCCAUCUGGCUUCCUUCUUAAUUGUUUGAAGCUUAAAAGUGGUCAAAUAUUGAGUUCCAGGGGGGAGAAAAAAUUCAUUCAUGUUUAAUGCACGUUGAUUUAGAAGAAAGGUUGUGCCAGAUCGGAAUCUUAGGGGGACUCAUUUAAUCUUUUCAUACAUAUACCCGUUUCAUCUUGCCAUCUUGGCACAGGGCUGGGGCAGCAGGGAUGCCACUGGAAAUGAAGUACUCAAGGACUCUCGACUAAAUGUUACAACAGGGCUGGGGAACCCCUUUUCAACCCAAGGUCCGCAUUUCCUCUCCAGAGAGCCACAUGCUAGUGCUGCAUGAGGCCAGAGGCAGACGUUGGCAGGGCCAGAGGCAAAACUGGGUGGAGCAAAGAUCCCUGAUGAGCUGUAGCAGGCAGCAGUAAAGUUGAGAGAAAGCCAGAUUGGACACCCACACAUAUAGCUGGAGAGACAUUCUGCUCGAAACACCACUUUGCAUUUUGCAGAAAAAGAGCUUGAAAAACUCUCUGAACUGAAACACAGACACUGAUCAAAAUUCGCACUUCCCUGAUGUAGAAAUGUAGAGAACAGAACUUACG